RNAcentral lists this non-coding RNA (26 nucleotides) under Homo sapiens (human). Lineage: Eukaryota; Metazoa; Chordata; Mammalia; Primates; Hominidae. The record is from RNAcentral.
UGCUUGUGUGUUCUUCCGCCAAUGUG